RNAcentral lists this ribosomal RNA (253 nucleotides) under uncultured bacterium. Its description in RNAcentral is "partial 16S ribosomal RNA". It matches the Rfam family "Bacterial small subunit ribosomal RNA", at positions 524 to 776 of the family's 1533-position model. The record is from RNAcentral.
UACGUAGGUGACAAGCGUUGUCCGGAUUUACUGGGCGUAAAGAGCGCGCAGGCGGCCGAGCAAGUCGAGUGUGAAAGCCCCGGGCUUAACUUGGGAAUUGCGCUCGAAACUACUUGGCUGGAGUGUGGCAGAGGAAGGUGGAAUUCCAGGUGUAGCGGUGAAAUGCGUAGAGAUCUGGAGGAACACCGAUGGCGAAGGCAGCCUUCUGGGCCAACACUGACGCUCAUGCACGAAAGCGUGGGGAGCAAACAGG